AGCAGCUUCAUCUCGGCGAACAGCAGAUUAAUGAAUUAAAAGAAGAGCUUGUCCAAGAUAAAUUAAAAUCCCCGGAGAAAAACCAAAACCAAAAAGCCGCCUGUGAGGACGAGCAGGACGAUUCCGGUUUAGGAACCAGCCGGGGCCCCGCUGAUAAGAUGCCGGCGGCCAAAAGGGCCAAAAGGGGUCCAACUAAGAGGAAGAAGGAGCAGCAGGGCGAUGAG
Entelurus aequoreus (snake pipefish) is the source of this 224-nucleotide long non-coding RNA. RefSeq lists it as uncharacterized. The record is from RefSeq and is a predicted model, not a curated record. Lineage: Eukaryota; Metazoa; Chordata; Actinopteri; Syngnathiformes; Syngnathidae. The transcript is spliced from 4 exons.